RNAcentral lists this ribosomal RNA (848 nucleotides) under 'Solanum phureja' aster yellows phytoplasma. Its description in RNAcentral is "bacterial SSU rRNA". It matches the Rfam family "Bacterial small subunit ribosomal RNA", at positions 382 to 1239 of the family's 1533-position model. Lineage: Bacteria; Bacillati; Mycoplasmatota; Mollicutes; Acholeplasmatales; Acholeplasmataceae. The record is from RNAcentral.
UCUGACCGAGCAACGCCGCGUGAACGAUGAAGUAUUUCGGUACGUAAAGUUCUUUUAUUAGGGAAGAAUAAAUGAUGGAAAAAUCAUUCUGACGGUACCUAAUGAAUAAGCCCCGGCUAACUAUGUGCCAGCAGCCGCGGUAAUACAUAGGGGGCAAGCGUUAUCCGGAAUUAUUGGGCGUAAAGGGUGCGUAGGCGGUUAAAUAAGUUUAUGGUCUAAGUGCAAUGCUCAACAUUGUGAUGCUAUAAAAACUGUUUAGCUAGAGUAAGAUAGAGGCAAGUGGAAUUCCAUGUGUAGUGGUAAAAUGCGUAAAUAUAUGGAGGAACACCAGUAGCGAAGGCGGCUUGCUGGGUCUUUACUGACGCUGAGGCACGAAAGCGUGGGGAGCAAACAGGAUUAGAUACCCUGGUAGUCCACGCCGUAAACGAUGAGUACUAAACGUUGGGUAAAACCAGUGUUGAAGUUAACACAUUAAGUACUCCGCCUGAGUAGUACGUACGCAAGUAUGAAACUUAAAGGAAUUGACGGGACUCCGCACAAGCGGUGGAUCAUGUUGUUUAAUUCGAAGGUACCCGAAAAACCUCACCAGGUCUUGACAUGCUUCUGCAAAGCUGUAGAAACACAGUGGAGGUUAUCAGUUGCACAGGUGGUGCAUGGUUGUCGUCAGCUCGUGUCGUGAGAUGUUGGGUUAAGUCCCGCAACGAGCGCAACCCUUAUUGUUAGUUACCAGCACGUAAUGGUGGGGACUUUAGCAAGACUGCCAGUGAUGAAUUGGAGGAAGGUGGGGACGACGUCAAAUCAUCAUGCCCCUUAUGACCUGGGCUACAAACGUGAUACAAUGGCUGUUA